CAUAAGGAAAUGAAUGGAUAAUAUUUCACAUUUUUACUGAGAUCCCAGGGCCCCUGUGAGUUUCCUUUUCAAUGCAGCUGCUUUGUCAUCUUCAGCCAACCAGACAUCUACCUUGCCCAGGCCUAAACAUUACAGAAAGAAAGGAAAGAAGGAAAAGGGGGGAAAAAGAGAAGAGGGGUAGGGAGGGAGGGAGAAAGAAAGAAAAAUAAGGAGAAAUCGAAGAGUUCUCUUCCUCCACCCUUUCCCCUCCCCUCUUCUGAGUAGUCUUAUUUUUGGAGGCUGCGCAGGAAGCUUUUCAGCACAGGAAAGAUCAUCUCACAGUAAGAGGGGGGAAAGAAAAUAGCAGUAGCUGUCAUCCAGGAUGGAAGGGGGUGGGUGAUGCUUCAGGUUCUCCCUGAAAUGUCGGCAAGAGGAUUCGAAGGAUCCCCGAUGUCUCUCCUGCUUUCCUGUCCCUCCUGCACUUUGACCCCCCCACCCCACCCCACCCCCAGCCAUGCCUCACUCUAUGUCUCCCGAAUGACAGACUCUAGUUAAUUUGGCCUUGGCUUUCACCAAGCAGCUGAUGCAGAGGAGGCCGCAGUUUGCCGGACUCGCAAAGUGGACGCUAGAGAAGGAAGGAAAGGGGGGAAAGCAGCUGUUGAGAGUUUUAGCAUUUUUUUCCCCUUUCCUUUGGGGAUUUUGGCCGAACACUUAAAGUAAAUACGGUCGGCUAUUUUGUGCCCCCAUCCUUCCUUUGCUUUUUUCCCCCAUCUUAUGUCAAACUGCAAACUGCAGAUCGAUAGACCCAAUGCAAUAUUCCCCACGCCAGUCUCAGCCCGUCCCCUUCCUCUCCAUUGAAAUACCUCACCCUGGCUACCUCCUGUUCCCUCCCCACGUCUUUUGGCUGCAGUUCCUGACGGUUGAAGCCCCUCGAUCCUCCAAAUGGAAAUCCUUUCCCAAUCAAGGGAUUCAAAUUGCAGAGAAUGCUACAUCAAUGGAUGCUGAAGCUACUAAGAUGUUGAAACAAACGAUGUGAUCAACUGGAAACAUCCCUUCUGCUAAAAGUGACAUCGAGAAGGCAUACUUCUGUAGAAAUUUUGGAACAAGUUGGAAUCAUCUCAGGAAACAGGAAAAUGAAAGUCCUGCUCUAAGCCAGGACUUCUAAGAUCAAUCAGUAGCAGUAUCUACCUUCCUGGUGAACUAUCAUGCAUUCCUUCUCUGUAUCCCUCUAUGUUUCAAAUGUAAAUUUAUUUUUCUCAUCUUUUUUCCUUAAUACUGAUACAUAGGGAAAUUUCAAUGUACUUGUUGAUUCAUACAUUUUUAAGACCCAAGGCUGAGUCAACACUUAGCAUUAUUUACAACAUAGAAUUAAUUUGAACUUCUGAGUGUCAUCUUGAGGCAACUGAAAAAAAAUGAAACCCUUUUGGAGUAAGAAGUAUUUUAAAAGUGGCAAAGAGUUGGAAAUCGCUGGGAUGUCCAUCAACUGGGGAACAGCUGAAC
Long non-coding RNA from Dromiciops gliroides (monito del monte), 1479 nucleotides. RefSeq lists it as uncharacterized. The transcript is spliced from 3 exons. Lineage: Eukaryota; Metazoa; Chordata; Mammalia; Microbiotheria; Microbiotheriidae. The record is from RefSeq and is a predicted model, not a curated record.